RNAcentral lists this ribosomal RNA (253 nucleotides) under uncultured bacterium. Its description in RNAcentral is "partial 16S ribosomal RNA". It matches the Rfam family "Bacterial small subunit ribosomal RNA", at positions 524 to 776 of the family's 1533-position model. The record is from RNAcentral.
GACGAACCGUGCAAACGUUAUUCGGAAUCACUGGGCUUAAAGGGCGCGUAGGCGGGCGAUCAAGUCCGGGGUGAAAUCCUCCAGCUUAACUGGAGAAGUGCCUCGGAUACUGGUCGCCUCGAGGAGGGUAGGGGCAUCUGGAACUAGCGGUGGAGCGGUGAAAUGCGUUGAUAUCGCUAGGAACUCCGAUGGCGAAGGCAAGGUGCUGGACCCUUUCUGACGCUGAGGCGCGAAAGCCAGGGGAGCGAACAGG